AAGUUUAUCCCCACACUAAGUUCUAAUACGAAUUUCA
Molecule: small RNA, 37 nt
Filed under: Romboutsia ilealis
Lineage: Bacteria; Bacillati; Bacillota; Clostridia; Peptostreptococcales; Peptostreptococcaceae
Description: CRISPR spacer
Source: RNAcentral